GCCCAGGUGAUGGAAUUGGUAUACAUACUAGGUUGAGGGCCUAGCCGCGCAAGCGGGUGAGGGUUCGAGUCCCUCCCUGGGCA
RNAcentral lists this transfer RNA (83 nucleotides) under Patescibacteria group bacterium. RNAcentral's name for it is "tRNA-Leu". It matches the Rfam family "tRNA". Rfam says of the family: Transfer RNA (tRNA) molecules are approximately 80 nucleotides in length. Their secondary structure includes four short double-helical elements and three loops (D, anti-codon, and T loops). The record is from RNAcentral.